Molecule: ribosomal RNA, 695 nt
Filed under: uncultured bacterium
Lineage: Bacteria
Description: bacterial SSU rRNA
Rfam family: Bacterial small subunit ribosomal RNA
Source: RNAcentral
AGAGUUUGAUCAUGGCUCAGGACGAACGCUGGCGGCGUGCCUAAUACAUGCAAGUCGAGCGGACCUUUCGGGGUCAGCGGCGGACGGGUGAGUAACACGUGGGCAAUCUGCCCGAUACUCUGGGAUAACGCUUGGAAACGAGUGCUAAUACCGGAUGGUCUUCUUGGCCGCAUGGCCGAGAAGGAAAAGACGCGUUCGCGUCGGUGUCGGAUGAGCCCGCGGCGCAUUAGCUAGUUGGUGAGGUAACGGCCCACCAAGGCGACGAUGCGUAGCCGACCUGAGAGGGUGACCGGCCACACUGGGACUGAGACACGGCCCAGACUCCUACGGGAGGCAGCAGUAGGGAAUCUUCCACAAUGGGCGAAAGCCUGAUGGAGCAACGCCGCGUGAGUGAUGAAGGCCUUCGGGUUGUAAAACUCUGUCAUCCGGGACGAACCGGAGUCUGAGGAAAUGCAGACUCUCUGACGGUACCGGAGGAGGAAGCCCCGGCUAACUACGUGCCAGCAGCCGCGGUAAUACGUAGGGGGCAAGCGUUGUCCGGAUUCACUGGGCGUAAAGCGCGCGCAGGCGGUGAUGUAAGUCUGAGGUGAAAACCCGAAGCUCAACUUCGGGACUGCCUUGGAUACUGCGUCACUUGAGGAUAGGAGAGGCAAGGGGAAUUCCACGUGUAGCGGUGAAAUGCGUAGAGAUGUGGA